UGGAUCACCUCCUAACAGGGAGACAAACAAUGAUUUUGAUGCCUGAGUACUUUUAUUCUUAUGCCCAAAUCCUGUCACCUUAGGUCGAUCGAUACCUCAUCUUUGAAGUUAAAAGUGAACUGGAAACAGUGAGCUGCUUAAUGGAGAUUCUUAGUUCCUAAACUUUGUCUAGGUCACACCCCACAAGGGAUGAGACUCCUGGGCCAUUAGCUCAGGUGGUUAGAGCGCACCCCUGAUAAGGGUGAGGUCCCUGGUUCAAGUCCAGGAUGGCCCAUUCAGGGUUGGGGGUUUAGCUCAGUUGAUAUAGCGCCUGCUUUGCAAGUGGGAUGUCAGGAGUUCGAGUCUCCUAACCUCCACUGACCGAUCUCAAUCCUCAAUGUCCAGUCAUGGAGUUUUGAGUUCAGUUGGAGUGUGAUUUAGAUGUGUCCGCUAGAGGAACCCAGCUUCCUGUCAUUCCGGCGAUAGAGAGAAAUCUAUCGAUGGUUGAUAAGAUGCUGGGCUCGAAUCAGGUGAUCAAGCAAUUGAUGAUUUGAUUUGAAGUCUGGUGAAACCUUGACAACUGCAUAGGUGAGUCUGGAAGGAAUAAAGCAUCUCAUGGAUGAUGCGAUGACUCUGAAUGAUGACCCCAUAGGGUGAUGAUGAGGAAUGAUUGCCCAUUCUAUCGAGCGAGAUCCGAGACUCCAUCGCGCUCUUCUGAUUGUAUCGAGCAAUGACUGAGUUACAUCUUUGAUUCAGCAAUGAAUCAGAGAGAAUCUGUUUCAACGACAGCAAGCGUGUUGGAGAUACAUUGAACAAGCUACGAAUGACUCACGGUGGAUACCUUCGCGCACAGAGGCGAUGAA
RNAcentral lists this transfer RNA (842 nucleotides) under uncultured Synechococcus sp. RNAcentral's name for it is "partial contains 16S ribosomal RNA, 16S-23S ribosomal RNA intergenic spacer, tRNA-Ile, tRNA-Ala, and 23S ribosomal RNA". The stretch from base 201 to 274 matches the Rfam family "tRNA". Lineage: Bacteria; Bacillati; Cyanobacteriota; Cyanophyceae; Synechococcales; Synechococcaceae. The record is from RNAcentral.